AUUGAACGCUAGCGGGAUGCUUACACAUGCAAGUCGAACGCGUGGCGGACGGGUUAGUUAUAUAUCGGCACGUGCCCAGUAGCUGGGGAUAACUACUCGUAAGAGAGCUAUACCGCAUCCUCUUGGAGCUGCCGGUAUCGGAAUAGCGAGUUGUUGGGGUAAAGGCUCACCAGGGCAACUAUCCGUAGCUGGUUUGAGAGGAGGACCAGCCACACAGGGAAUGAAGCACGGCCCAGACUGCUACGGGAGGCGGAAGUGGGGAAUGUUGGACGAUGGGGGGAACCCGGAUCCAGCCAUCCCGCGUGUAUGAGUAAGGCUUCGGGUUGUAAAGUACUUUUGGGAGAGAAGCGGUACCUGCAGAAUAAGCACGGGCUAACUACGUGCCAGCAGCCGCGGUAAUAC
RNAcentral lists this ribosomal RNA (402 nucleotides) under uncultured bacterium. RNAcentral describes it as "partial 16S ribosomal RNA". It matches the Rfam family "Bacterial small subunit ribosomal RNA", at positions 30 to 526 of the family's 1533-position model. The record is from RNAcentral.